GGCUUCUGUUUCCGGGUGGCCUCCCGAGGCCGGCGCACAAGAUGGCUGUCUGCUGGAGGCGGCCGAGCCGGAGUAUUGUGCUCUAGCGCGGGGCGGGGGCUGGAGAGGUUUUCAUUCACUCUAUGGGCAGACGGGGCGGCGCCGCCGGUCCUCUUGAGGUGUCAGGUCCACUCGCUGCUGUUCCCGGUCCCCACCGCCUUCCCAGACCUCCCCCGGGGUGGAGCCUAGCAAAGGUCGGGCCGGCUGCCCGAGUAUCCUUGCCCCGGGGCGGUCGCUGUGAGUGGCUCACUUUUAGAAUUGACUUUCGCCACGUGCGGGGUCCAUGGCUGCUUUGCCGGCGUCGGGGGAGAAGAUUAACAUCCAGGCAGGAGAGACAGCCAAGGUCGAGGACAUGGAUUCGCUCGGGAAUGACUGGCCCGAGCCGGACAGGCCUCCCCAGCGCUCCCGCGGGCAGAAAUGCGCUUCCUACGUGCUGGCCCUGAGGCCCUGGAGCUUCAGUGCCUCGCUCACCCCGGUAGCCCUGGGCAGUGCCUUGGCAUACAGAUCCCAGGGCGUCCUGGAUCCUAGACUCUUGGUGGGUUGUGCCGUCGCUGUCCUGGCUGUGCACGGGGCCGGCAAUUUGGUCAACACUUACUAUGACUUUUCCAAGGGCAUUGACCACAAGAAGAGUGAUGACCGGACGCUAGUGGACCGAAUCUUGGAGCCUAAAGACGUUGUUCGGCUCGGAGUCUUCCUUUACACCUUGGGCUGCAUCUGUGCUGCUUGCCUCUACUACCUGUCCCCUUUGAAACUGGAGCACUUGGCUCUCAUCUACUUUGGGGGCUUGUCUGGCUCUUUUCUCUACACAGGAGACAGGGUCUUGAAGUUCAGGCUGGCCUCAAACUCAUUGGGAACCUCCUGCCUCGGCCUCCCAAGUGCUGGGAUUUCAGUCCUUCUCAGGCAUGUCGAGCUCAACAUGACCGAAAUCAAACUCCUGAUGUUCUGCCCCUACGUACCUGCCUUCCCCAUUUCAUUCAGUGAUGGUGGUGGUGGCUGUGUUCACAGUGCGGGGGAUCAGACUCCAAGCCGUGAGUGUGCUGGGCAAGCACUGUACCACUGCGCUCCGUCCCCAGCCCCUUUCCUUCCAGUUCUCCAGGCCCAGAGUCACGGCAUCCUCCUGGGCUCAUCUCAGGUCUCAUCCAGCUCAUCCGCAAACCCUGUUUUCAUUCAAAAUACAUUCAGGGCCUGACUGCUUCUGUUUAGAACGCUCUUCCCCAUCUGGCUGUAUGGUUCACUCUGUGGCUUCCUUCACCCUUUGCCCAAACGUCCGCUGCUCAGCGAGGCCUUGCUUUCUGCCUUAUUUAAAAUCACAUGCCCUCGCCGUGUGUCCCUCCACCCCAGGUACCCUCUCCCAUUGCUCUCCUCUGCUUUAUUUUCUGCACAGCACAUAUUGUCCUUGAAUGCAUGCACACCAUAUACAAUACGCCUUCGGCUCGUUAAUUUCCCCGAGGCUUGAGCUCCUUGUGGUCAGGGAUUUCUCUCCUUGUUCUCAGCUGAACCCCUAGUGCCCAGUGCAGCACCUGGUAGGUGGUGCCUAACCUGCUUCUCCAAUGAACAAACAGGAAGACCUUGAGAAUGUUAAGUAGGGCAGCGAUGUAAGCAGACUUAGCUGUCACAUGGGUUAGCUUUGCCUGGUCUAAAACAUUGUGCAGAUGGGACUAUUUUGCUGUACAGCAUAUUUAUUUCACUACAAGCGCUUAUGUCUGGCUUCUUUGGCUCAGUAUGAUGUUUUCAGAAUACAUGAAGUUGUUAUGUGUGUCAGUAACUCCUUUUUUUGCUUAAAUAGCACUCCUUUGAUGAUUAUACCACAUUUCAUUCUCCCAUUCAGGGGCCUGUGUGUAUUUGGCUAUUUCUCUUGGGUAAAUGCCUAGAAGUGGAGCUGUGAGGGCACAGGAUAGGUGAUAUUUCAUUUUGUGAGAAACUUCCAGACCAUUUUUGGAAGUGGAUCCUAUUUCACAUUCCUACCAGCAAUGCAUGAUCGUUCCAGUGGCUCCACAUCCUUGCCAACGCUUUGAUUUAUGUCUUCACAGAUCAAUUCUGGCUGCUGUGUGACAAGAACCUCAGUGUGUCACUGUGUCUCAUUCAGAAAAUGGGGUUGAGGGGUUGAGUAUGUCUGGAAGGAAACUCCUGUGUGGAAUGAAUACAUAGAUAUACACAUAUAUGUAUAUAUUUUAAAAAAUUUUUUGGCACUGGGGAUUGAACCCCAGGCCUUCAAACUGAGCUACAUCCCUGGCUUUUAAAAAUUUUUUCAUGUUAAGGCAAGGUCAAGCUAAGCUGUCCUGGCUGGGGUUGAAAUUGCAAUCCUCCUGCCUCGGCCUCCCAAAAUACUAGGAUUACAGCACCAAAAGAAUAAUAGAGCCUUUGAGGAGAGAGCCCUGUACCACCAUGCCCUGUUGAGCCACAUUUGUAGUUCAGACUGUUCUGAACUUGCUUUGUAGCCCAGGCUGACCUUGAACUUAUGCCGAUCCUCCUGCCUCAGCCUCCUGAGUGCUGGGAUUACAGGCCUGCCCCCCCAUUCUGCACAUGCCCCAUUUCCAAGCCAGGUAGAUCACAGCGAGGGUCAUAUAUCCACCACUUAGGCUCUCUCCCAGGAGCUGUCAUUGUUUGGUGCCAGAUAACUGCAAGAAGGUUGUCAGACCUUUCUCUCCUUGAGUGGGUUUGUGCUUGUUUUUUGUCCAGGCCCUGUUUAGAAUGGGGACCUGCGUCUCUGCUCUGCUUCACAAAAGUCAGUUUUCUGUGGUGAUAUGAGGAGGUGUUCUUGGAGAAUCCAGCCAAAGGCCAGGGCUGUCGUGCUGUUGUGUUUUCUUCCAAGCCAGAGCUCUGGUGUUGGCAUGAGGCAAGAGAGGGGCAGCAGUGGGUGGAGGAGCUCGCUGGUGGUGGCCGGGUGCAUUCCGGCCUGGAAUCCUCGCUGGGCAGGGAAACCCCUAAAUGCUAGAGACAUUGCAAGGGGCGUCAGUUUACUGAUUCAGGGAGCUGGUGUCGGCUGGGAGAGACUUCCUCCGGAGGGCGUGUCCUCAGAGAGCCCAGUUAUGGAGAGCCGCGGGCUCGGGCACAGAACUCGCCUGCUGGUGUUCAGGGAGCCUCGGGGCCAUGCCAGCGCCCUUCUUUCUGGGGAUGCUCCUGUCCAAUGAACCCAGAGUGCUCAUUUUGCACCAACACACCCAGCUACUAUGAAAGUUAACCCCUGGCUUUGGUGCUUUGCAGUCCUCUGCAGACCGUUGUCACUUGCUGUUUCAGGGUGGUUAAAAUGUGCUUGAUCACCUGAGAGUUUUCUUUGUUUUGGAUCCUGAGGCACCUUGUGGAUUGGUCACACCCUACAUCACCUCCUCGCCCACCCCAUCUGGAAGCCAGUUAGGAGGGGGUUGCUGUCUUCCAGGCAUCCAAUGACCCUGACUUGGACUUGGCAAUGGAGUGAGGAAUUGGAUUCAAGUAUGUGGCCCUGGGAGACCUCAUCAUCCUCAUCACUUUCGGCCCUCUGGCCGUGAUGUUCGCCUAUGCCGUCCAGGUGGGCUCGCUGGCGAUCUUCCCUCUGGUCUACGCCAUCCCCCUGGCCCUCAGCACCGAGGCCAUUCUCC
Molecule: non-coding RNA, 3614 nt
Organism: Heterocephalus glaber (naked mole-rat)
Lineage: Eukaryota; Metazoa; Chordata; Mammalia; Rodentia; Bathyergidae
Source: RefSeq, a predicted model, not a curated record